GAGGGUAUAGUUUAAGUGGUAAAGCACAUGCUUAGCAUGCCUGAGGUCCUGGGUUCAAUCCCCAGUACCUCCA
This is a transfer RNA of Camelus ferus (Wild Bactrian camel), 73 nucleotides long. It matches the Rfam family "tRNA". From Rfam's summary of the family: Transfer RNA (tRNA) molecules are approximately 80 nucleotides in length. Their secondary structure includes four short double-helical elements and three loops (D, anti-codon, and T loops). The record is from Rfam. Lineage: Eukaryota; Metazoa; Chordata; Mammalia; Artiodactyla; Camelidae.